This is a long non-coding RNA of Maniola jurtina (meadow brown), 1014 nucleotides long. RefSeq lists it as uncharacterized. The transcript has 2 exons. The record is from RefSeq and is a predicted model, not a curated record. Lineage: Eukaryota; Metazoa; Arthropoda; Insecta; Lepidoptera; Nymphalidae.
UGCGCUUAUGUAUACAUGUAACCAUUAACCUCUAUUACAAGUGAGUAGCUACGCUGGAUUUGCGAUUGAAUAACUUAGUUUUGUAGCAAAUCAUUUUCGUCAUUCUGGUACGGUUAGCAGCAGUGAGUGAAGGUGAACUAAACGUUAGUGUUGAGAUAUCUAUCUGCCAAUGCCAAUGUAGUGUCGACGAGAAGACUACCAAUUACUGAAACAGUGACAAUUUCAAUUCGUAUCAAGUUAUUACAAAAAAUAUUGUAAUUUGUGUAAUAUAUACAUCUUUUCUCGCGUACUUGUAUGAAUCUAAUCCUAUGCAUAUGACUUAUCUCCACUGAAUGACAAGAUUAAAGACAAAUAAUAAUUAGGGUCAGGUAGACCGAACGGUUCUAAAAUUAAUCAGACUGACUAAUGAUACCUAAUCAUGUUCUCAGUUACGCAGGCUAGUCUAGUUAGCGUAUGCUGUUAUACGCCUACUUGGGAAAUAAUUUACAUAGGUAGUUGAAGUUUUUAUUUUCACACUCUCAUCGCGGAAAGUUUAUUUUUAUUUCAUCGCCGAUCCUGUAUUGACUAAAUUCAAUAUUAUAAAAUUACCUACGGAACUACAAUAUUUUACACAACAAAGCGAAAAUGAAUGUCAAUGCGUAACGAUGUAAGUCUUACUUUCUGUAGAGGUAUUUAAUUUUCAUUACUCGGUGAUAGAUUAACAUGCAAGUUUUUGAUAUACCUACCAAUGCAAACCAGGAUAAUGUUUUCACUACUGUAGAGAAAUAUAACAGGCAUAGUUGUGGUGACUGCUCAGUCUAUGAAUAGCGGAAGAAGAGGGCACCGAGGACGGCGCCGUGGUCAGUCUGGCCGUGUUAUGAAGAACCUCCUUAGAAGUGCAACGAGACUUAUGAAGAUAGCUGUCAUCUUUCGAUUGUCAUGGAUACAUCACGUCAAACAAUCAUUAAUUAAUUGUUGAUAUCUCAAGCUCUACAAUUUCGAUAUCUUCCUACGAUUAUAUUAUUCCAAAUUGCC